UACGUAGGUGGCAAGCGUUGUCCGGAGUUACUGGGCGUAAAGCGCACGCAGGCGGUCCUAUUAGUCUGGGGUGACAGUUCCCGGCUUAACCGGAAAAGGACUCUGGAAACUGUAGGACUUGAGGGCUUCAGAGGGAUGUGGAAUUCCAGGUGGAGUGGUGAAAUGCGUAGAGAUCUGGAAGAACACCAAAGGCGAAGGCAGCAUCCUGGGAAGUUCCUGACGCUCGGGUGCGAAAGCCAGGGGAGCGAACGGG
RNAcentral lists this ribosomal RNA (253 nucleotides) under uncultured bacterium. RNAcentral's name for it is "partial 16S ribosomal RNA". It matches the Rfam family "Bacterial small subunit ribosomal RNA", at positions 524 to 776 of the family's 1533-position model. The record is from RNAcentral.